This 250-nucleotide ribosomal RNA is filed under the name uncultured prokaryote. RNAcentral describes it as "partial 16S ribosomal RNA". It matches the Rfam family "Bacterial small subunit ribosomal RNA", at positions 524 to 773 of the family's 1533-position model. The record is from RNAcentral.
UACGUAGGUGGCGAGCGUUGUCCGGAUUUACUGGGUGUAAAGGGCGAGUAGGCGGGAUUGCAAGUCAGAUGUGAAAUACCGGAGCUCAACUCCGGAGCUGCAUUUGAAACUGUAGUUCUUGAGUGAUGGAGAGGCAGACGGAAUUCCCGGUGUAGCGGUAAAAUGCAUAGAGAUCGGGAGGAACACCAGUGGCGAAGGCGGUCUGCUGGACAUCAACUGACGCUGAGGAGCGAAAGUGUGGGGAGCAAAC